GCACUUUGGAAAGUGCUGGUUGGAGGGCCCGGUUGAGGAGAGGAAGAAGGGAAGCGGGAACCCCAUCGGCCUUGCCCCAAACUCCCACGGCAGCCCUGCGGGGUUCCACGGCACUGCCUUGGGGGAGCACAGUGUGCGAACCAGCCACCGGACCCCCAGACGAAGGACGAGGAGCCUAAGGCCCUCCAGCUAGCACAGGGUCAGGGCGCUCACGCGCUAGGGCCACGGACUGGCCCAUCAUCAUGGAGUCACCGUUGGCAGGACCCCGGCGAGUCUGAUGUGCCCCGCGGCGGUGCCUCCCCCCGAGAGGACGGGCAUCAGCACCCCCACGCGUGCCACCCCCGCUCCACCCCCAUCUCUGGAUGGUACCCAGCCCAUCAUGCCAACCGGAAGGUGUUCCAAGCCAACUCUCAACACAACAAGAAAGCAGCCGGUUCGCCCCUGAAGCCUCUCCUCCUGCUUUUCCCCGAGCUGCAGAGCUCGCUUGCAGGGAGCGUCGCUAACCAGGUCACAGCACAAGGUUUACAAUCACAACAGUCUCGGCUCUACUACUUGUUGGCUCUCGGAUCAUUGACACAUUGCACAACCCCCUGCCUGCUAGUGUCCUCAGCCACACAGUCAGUGCACUCGUGAUCCGUGUCCGCGUGUCACAUGAGGACAUUGACCACGGUCUCUGUCGGGAGCCCACUCGCGCCCUGAGUGCAGUGGCAGCUGCUCAGCACCUGCGACCCUUCAUGCUGUCCCUCCGUCCCCUCUCUGGAGUCCCUGAGUUUAUCCGCUCUUCCUCCCUGUUACCUGCUGUUCCUUAUUCUCCGAUAUCUUGGCGGCCUGAUCCUCCUGCAGUGUGCUCCUCCGACAGCGCGCUCCUCCAUCCCGGGCCAAGGCAAACACUCCGUGACCGAGGGCCCUGGCUUCUAGCUGCUCCCCGGUCGUCCUACCCUGUCACCAUUCUAGACUUUCAAAUGGCUCCUCGGCAUCUACUGGUUAAAAGACCAGUGCCCCACCAGGUCAGUGAGUGCAUCCCAGAACUCAGGCAACAGUUACUCCCAAUCUCCUCAAUCCACAGUCUUCCUCACAACGACUGGCUCCCAGGAAACCAAUGCUUUGUGGCCCUUGAAGUCAGAGAGGGAUGUAGCACUCACGAGUCAUGGACUGCCAGCAGGAGCACACUGCCCUGAGGAGGUAAGUGCUCCAGACCAAAGUCCA
RNAcentral lists this long non-coding RNA (1206 nucleotides) under Canis lupus familiaris (dog). Its description in RNAcentral is "lncRNA (ENSCAFG00000053529.1, ENSCAFG00845004908.1)". Lineage: Eukaryota; Metazoa; Chordata; Mammalia; Carnivora; Canidae. The record is from RNAcentral.